Molecule: ribosomal RNA, 243 nt
Filed under: uncultured bacterium
Lineage: Bacteria
Description: partial 16S ribosomal RNA
Rfam family: Bacterial small subunit ribosomal RNA
Source: RNAcentral
GGCGACCGGCGCACGGGUGAGUAACACGUAUCCAACCUGCCGAUAACUCGGGGAUAGCCUUUCGAAAGAAAGAUUAAUACCCGAUGGUAUAAUCAGACCGCAUGGUCUUGUUAUUAAAGAAUUUCGGUUAUCGAUGGGGAUGCGUUCCAUUAGGCAGUUGGUGAGGUAACGGCUCACCAAACCUUCGAUGGAUAGGGGUUCUGAGAGGAAGGUCCCCCACAUUGGAACUGAGACACGGUCCAA